GGGGUUGUAAUUCAGUGGUACAGUGCUUGUCGAGCAGCAUGAGGUCCUGGGUUCAAUUCCCAGCACCACCA
RNAcentral lists this transfer RNA (71 nucleotides) under Ictidomys tridecemlineatus (thirteen-lined ground squirrel). RNAcentral describes it as "Spermophilus tridecemlineatus (thirteen-lined ground squirrel) tRNA". It matches the Rfam family "tRNA". From Rfam's summary of the family: Transfer RNA (tRNA) molecules are approximately 80 nucleotides in length. Lineage: Eukaryota; Metazoa; Chordata; Mammalia; Rodentia; Sciuridae. The record is from Rfam by way of RNAcentral.